CCUACGGGAGGCAGCAGUAGGGAAUCUUCCACAAUGGGCGAAAGCCUGAUGGAGCAACGCCGCGUGGGUGAAGAAGGUCUUCGGAUCGUAAAACCCUGUUGUUAGAGAAGAAAGUGCGUGAGAGUAACUGUUCACGUUUCGACGGUAUCUAACCAGAAAGCCACGGCUAACUACGUGCCAGCAGCCGCGGUAAUACGUAGGUUGCAAGCGUUAGCCGGAUUUAUGGGGCGUAAAGGGAACGCAGGCGGUCUUUUAAGUCUGAUGUGAAAGCCUUCGGCUUAACCGGAGUAGUGCAUUGGAAACUGGGAGACUAGAGUGCAGAAGAGGAGAGUGGAACUCCAUGUGUAGGGGUGAAAUGCGUAGAUAUAUGGAAGAACACCAGUGGCGAAGGCGGCUCUCUGGUCUGUAACUGACGCGGAGGUUCGAAAGCGUGGGUAGCAAACAGGAUUAGAUACCCCUGUAGUC
RNAcentral lists this ribosomal RNA (465 nucleotides) under uncultured bacterium. RNAcentral's name for it is "partial 16S ribosomal RNA". It matches the Rfam family "Bacterial small subunit ribosomal RNA", at positions 338 to 795 of the family's 1533-position model. The record is from RNAcentral.